CCCAAGAGUAGGCCACUGUAAUCUUCAACAUUUGUUACAAUUUGAAGACCAAGAGGAUUAAUAUUUUCUUUUUUUCUCUAUAGAAGUGAUAAAAGGAAGAAAAAUACACCUUCAUUACAUUGUAGAGUUAAGAAACCAUGCCAGUCACAGUGCCUCCAACCAGAGAUCAAAGAAAUCCUCUGCGAAACCCUUCGGUUUACAGAACUCUGUCAAUCAGUCUGUCAAUGUUCCGGAUUAUUAUCCAAGUAGCAAUCCCAAAUUUUGCUGGAUAUAUCAGAUCGUCUCCUGCUCCAUAGAUUAACAGUGUGGCUUCUUCCUGUUUACAAAGAUGAAAAAGUGGAAAAGUGGUGGAUAUUAUUUGGAGAGCCAAAAAAAGGCACUGUUAUUGUAUCAAUAAAAGGAGACCAUAUGUCCACA
Molecule: long non-coding RNA, 417 nt
Organism: Antechinus flavipes (yellow-footed antechinus)
Lineage: Eukaryota; Metazoa; Chordata; Mammalia; Dasyuromorphia; Dasyuridae
Exons: 3
Source: RefSeq, a predicted model, not a curated record